GAUCCUGGCUCAGGACGAACGCUGGCGGCGUGCCUAACACAUGCAAGUCGAACGGAAGUUAGAGCUUCGGUUUUAACUUUAGUGGCGAACGGGUGAGUAACGCGUGAGGAACCUGCCUUUCAGUGGGGGGACAACAGUUGGAAACGACUGCUAAUACCGCAUGAUGCUUUUGGGAGACAUCUCCUGAAAGUCAAAGCUUUAUGUGCUGAAAGAUGGCCUCGCGUCUGAUUAGCUAGUUGGUGAGGUAACGG
Molecule: ribosomal RNA, 251 nt
Filed under: uncultured bacterium
Lineage: Bacteria
Description: partial 16S ribosomal RNA
Rfam family: Bacterial small subunit ribosomal RNA
Source: RNAcentral